AUACGUAGGGGGCGAGCGUUGUCCGGAAUGAUUGGGCGUAAAGGGCGCGUAGGCGGCGCGGUAAGUCUGGAGUGAAAGUCCUGCUUUCAAGGUGGGAAUUGCUUUGGAUACUGCCGCGCUUGAGUGCAGGAGAGGUUAUCGGAAUUCCCGGUGUAGCGGUGAAAUGCGUAGAGAUCGGGAGGAACACCAGUGGCGAAGGCGGGUAACUGGACUGCAACUGACGCUGAGGCGCGAAAGUGUGGGGAGCAAACAGGAUUAGAUACCCUGGUAGUCCACACUAUAAACGAUGAAUGCUAGGUGUAAGAGGUAUCGACCCCUUUUGUGCCGGAGUCAACACAAUAAGCAUUCCGCCUGGGGAGUACGGCCGCAAGGUUGAAACUCAAAGGAAUUGACGGGG
This 397-nucleotide ribosomal RNA is filed under the name uncultured bacterium. RNAcentral describes it as "partial 16S ribosomal RNA". It matches the Rfam family "Bacterial small subunit ribosomal RNA", at positions 523 to 918 of the family's 1533-position model. The record is from RNAcentral.